This 377-nucleotide ribosomal RNA is filed under the name uncultured bacterium. Its description in RNAcentral is "bacterial SSU rRNA". It matches the Rfam family "Bacterial small subunit ribosomal RNA", at positions 523 to 898 of the family's 1533-position model. The record is from RNAcentral.
AUACGUAGGGGGCGAGCGUUGUCCGGAAUUACUGGGCGUAAAGGGUGCGUAGGCGGCCCUUUAAGUCGGAUGUGAAAGCCCGCGGCUUAACCGCGGAAUGGCAUUCGAAACUGGAGGGCUUGAGUGUCGGAGAGGGUAGUGGAAUUCCCAGUGUAGCGGUGAAAUGCGUAGAUAUUGGGAGGAACACCAGUGGCGAAGGCGACUACCUGGACGAUAACUGACGCUGAGGCACGAAAGCUAGGGGAGCAAACAGGAUUAGAUACCCUGGUAGUCCUAGCCGUAAACGAUGGGUACUAGGUGUGGGUGGUUUCGAUACCAUCCGUGCCGUAGUUAACGCAUUAAGUACCCCGCCUGGGGAGUACGUGCGCAAGCAUGAA